CCUGAGGUUAACAAGUGUGUAGGACACUGAAGCAUGUGGUUUCACGGGUGACCAUUACUUUCACUGGUGACCUCUCCAUGGAUGAGUGGGGUGGGGGAACACUUGCUUCUACCCACUGAAGUAACUACUUGCAAAUCACAAGUAUUUGUUUCCUGGUCUUCUUGUAUUUGAAACGUCAUUACCUGCCACUCCCGCAAACCCUGACAUGCAGGCUUUUUUUUACUUUACUCAUGAGUGAGGAACAUAAUGUUCCAUUCUGUAAUAGCUGGCUUGUGAUUAAGCAAAACACAGGUUCCCUGCGGCUAGCUGUCUUGUUUUGAAAAGGGAUGAUCCUGUCCAAGCCAAUAACCAUGACAUGCCAACUUACACUACCGCGGUACCGGGCCAAACAAAACAACCACAGACAGUCGCCAACGCCAACCCGCACUGAGAAAAUGAAAUUGGUCCCAGCAGGCUUAUCCCAGUCCACAGAAACAUCCCCUAACGGUAUUGUAUGCUAUUUCUCCCCCAUUCUCAUCACAUUAGCUCACGUGAGAGAUUCAUUCAUCUUUGCGGGUGCAGUACAAACACAGACGAGACAAGAGAUAAUGAUUUUGCAGGAGUUUAUUGAAAGAAAAACAAAACAAAAAAAAGUUAUCCACUGCUUACAAUAACAGCAACAUAAUUCACUGAAGGGUCUAUCAGCUCUGUGGGCUCUAUGACAAAUAACUGUACAUGUAGUUGAGAACAGGAUAUAUUCACAUUAUACAAGGUCAGACCCUCUCUCUCCAUGCCCUGCCCGACACAGAAAAGAAGAACAAGACGACAUGUUCUUAACAGUGAAAUGCAAAACUCAAACAUUGGUGCUUCGCCUGACGUGCAGAGUAGGUAGGGUUGCAUAGAGAACAGGUUUGUUACAAGCGUUCAAGUGGAGUGCUAAUUUGUAACAACCCAAUGCCAAAAUGGUGGAACUCUGCCCAGAAUCAAAAGAAUUCACAGAUCAAAUAAACUGAUGACAGCAUUAAAAGCAUGACGGUAUGAACACUGUCUACUAUUUAGUAAUUGAUAACUGAACUGCAGUAGCACAUCCCCAAAAUGCUUCCAAAACACAAUGUCACCGUGACAAUAUAUGACCUGGUCUCACAAUUUACUUAAGUGUUUUGGCCAGAUCCUGUUACAGUGUUUCUUAACUCGUGAAAGAUGGGGUACAAUUAGUUAUGUUGUGAUGCAUGAGUAUGGGGUAGUGAACCUAUUGUGUUGUAAACUGUCUGUGAAGAACUGAUUACCAAACUAUUCAUAGGACUUUGGGUCAGAACUAAACCAUAUCAGAAAAAAAAGUCUAAAAAUUCCACUAAGCCACUACGACAGCAGUGCUUCUUAACUGGUGAGUCACAGAAUCAUUCUGAAUGGGUCGCAGAAUGUGUGUUCCUUCAGAUCUUAUCGUAGAUAAUAUAUGAACAGUAGCUUUUAUUUUGAAAUGGAUACAGCUCAGCCUUCAUGGUUCUCAUGCCUCAGUAACAGGGUAAAGGGAUCUCUCAGAAAGAGACGAAGUUCUGCAUGAACCUACUACUGUAUGAGUCUGAAGGCUCGGCUGGAGAAGUGCUGUAAACGUGAGUACGGGAUGCCACUGGUAGGUUAGCUGAAUCUCUGUGUUAGAAUUCAUAAUUUUGGCAGAUAGUAAAAACUUAUUUUCUUGUAAUUUGCAGUUAGCAUGUGACUGAGAUGAGCUAGGUUUUAUACAGUUUUGUGUAUGGGAAAGAAAUCAACAUGUAGGCUGUGUUUGUAUAAUGUGCUAAUUUGAUGAAUACAAGAAUAUAACGUGAAGUUUGAAUCAUUAGGUUGGGCAAAAGGUCAAAUAGUCCCCAGAUUUUUGUGGUAAAACUAUUUAAAAUCUAUCUAAUCUUACUCAGGCUAAUGAGCUAUGAAUUCAGGCAUUUAUUAUGUUUAUGGUUUGAAUUCUAUAAAAGUGUAGGGCAGACCAGUUGAGAUCCACUGCCUUACAGGAUGACGCCUGAUUUUGCUUUAGAAGUGAAUAGCAAAGACGAAUUGGCUUUCACUUGGCAAGAACAUAAAAAAAAUACAGGGAUUUAAAAAAGCAUAAAAAAAUAAUUCAUACAAAACAAAUGUUCCAUCAUCCAUGAAAAAACCACAAUCCAUGAAACCACCAUAUAGUAAAUGUUUUAUGUCCAUGUCCAUUCAAAGCACAUUUCAAAAGCUUAAUCCCUAAAUAAAAAAAAUUAAAAAAAACGAAUUAAACAUAUCAUUUUCACAGACAAGAACUAAAGUAAUAGUCCCUUUAGUUCCCAGAAAAAACUGGAAUCGCAAGUUGAGGAAACAUGUAGCUUUUCAAAGGUUCACUGCAAACAAGAUGAAAACCGGUAGUGAAACAUGAGGUACUUUAAGUGUAUUUGCAGCUUACUCAAUAUUAACAUGACCCAGGAAAAAAGAAGAAACCAUCACACGAAUGUGAGCUCUAAAUAAUUAUAUUACAUUUAAAUAAAACACUUUAAGUGUGCUUCAAGAGUUAUUGUUUUAAAAUGUUCAACUAAACAGAAUGCCACUUCUCUGUUUCUCUUGAUCUAAAACCGAAUCUUUAAAAUGGUGGUCAUGAACAAAAACUCUGUUUUGAAAACACCAAGUUUUAUUGUAAAACAAAAACAAACUUUCAGCAUUGGUCAACCUGGUUCACCGGUAAACAUAACCCUUAAUAACUAAAAAUAAUUUUAACCAAAGAAAAACACUGAUUUAAAGCAUAACAACAGAGCCUUCCUGUUACUGUUCCCCAAAAGACAAAUAAAAAUGCUAAAAACUUGUGAAAUUCCUUGAAACAGGUUAUAGGAAGUAUCACACACACACACAAGGAAUACUGAAGUGAAAACAGCCCAUUUCCUUUCCAAAGAAGUCGUUCUGGUCCAUCACAAACCCAAUUGCCACAAGUCCAAGCCCAAACAUCUACCCAUCCUCACGGAGCACUUAAUCAUCACCAGUUCACACAUAUUCACGUACAAGCAGAUCUGGAGUCUCUGGAGACAGCCAACAAAACCACUGAGGUAGAACUACACAGACAACUAAAACUAACUCCAGACACUGGUUAUGAUUCUUAAUGACUUACACUGAUAAGAGACUGUACUGUGAGAUUAUGACAACUGCACAAACACUUCACAUUGAUGUAACAUGUACACACAUUUCUGUAGAUUAAGUCAGUCUUUGUAGUUGAGACAGUUGUAAGAUCAAUAUUAAUUUGCAUCGAGGUAUCUAUAAAGGAAGCUUGAUGUGCUGGGGUAAGCCAAAGCCAAGACAGCAGUGAAGAGAAAUACUACUGAUCUAAGGGGACAUUUGUGUUUACACCAGAAGGGUAGUAUCUUUGCAACUGACAUAUGAUCUGUGAUGAUCGGAUCUGUGUUCACACCAGAAGAGUAGUAUCUUUGCAACAGACAUAUGAUCUGUGAUGAUCGGUGACAAUCAGAUCUAGGAUCUGAACUGAAAUAUUCCUAAACUAUUCAUCAAAACAAAAAAAAUCCCAAUGUGUCAGAAUAGUUUAAACAUUAACAUUAAAUUAAGAGGGUAUUAUUUUGAUACAUGAUUUUAAACUAAGAUCAGGUAGAGAUCAAUAUCCAUAUUUUGGGCUGAUCUUUGGCACUAAUGACUUAUAGGAGUUGCAAGUAAAGACUAGACAACUUGCCUGGGCAUCUGCAAAAUAAAUACAAACACAAAGUUGAGUCACAUGAAAAUGACUAAACAUUGAUUUGUGCGCAGCUAAUUGAUUUUACUUCGCCCUAAAACCUUGAAUACCAGAGCAGUCUGAUAAGAUUAGAUAUCGGAUUUCAAUCAGAGAAAAUUGUACAGUAAAUCACUUGGGGUUGACCAUCGAUUCUUCCAAUCUUUUUCACAACAAAGCACAAUGAUUCAAUCAGCGGGACAUACGGGUGGUGGCCACACUCACACAAACUCCUUAAAAAAUCUCUUUGACAUUUAAAAAUAAGGUCAACUGGCAUCAUUCGAAAGGAUAUUUCUUUGGGUGAUGAGGUCAACCAUGAGGGUCUCAUCUCAGAAUAAUCUCGUGAUAUUCGCAGCGGCAACCUUAGACUUGAACUGCACUCUAACAAGAGGAUUUCUAGGAGUAACAAAAACUGGGAUUUUACUGCAAACAUCGUUCGAUUGGAGAAAUGAAUCAAAACAUUAAAUCCACUUCCAAAAUAAAUCAGAAUUCAAGGCACGGAGGUGGCAUGUUAAACGUGAUAAGUGUUUCAAUCUUGGGCGCUGAUUAGCAAACAUUCUUACACAGCAAUUUGUGUCUUUACUGAAUUUAUGGGCAGAAGUGAGAAGAAUACGAACACAGGCUUGCUCUGUUGGGUUACCAGUCAAAUCAUAAAACAUAUGGGCUAAUAACCAAUUAUGCCUUUGUUGAAAAAGGUACAGUUAUAAUGUAUAUAUGCGCAUGCGUGUAUUGGGUGGAGGUAAGAUGAGAUUUGUGGGGCUGUUAUAAGCGUGCAGACUUAAUUAGGCAACACCGGGUUUGAGUUCCAAGCAAGCAAACAGGCUUGUCUGAACACACAACGCCCCCUUGCUCAGAAGCCCAACCUGGCGUGCAGCUGGCACUUUCUUCUGAUCUCCAUCACCAAUCACAGCAGCAGGUGACAAACAAUCAAAAUGAAAAUGAAAAUGGAAAUGGAAAUGAUCUACACAAACAGCCUCCGUGAACCAUUCACUGACUGUCUCCUCCUGGCAACCAGAAAAAAAACAAAGUGUAACAAAAACUCUAACAUUCCUCGAGUCAUCGAAAGUCAAAAUCCAUCUGAUAGCGUAAAUAAAGAAAAGAAAAAAGAAGAUCUGUGGAAUCUCUCGUUGCGGAGGAUGCUGAACCUCUUUUCUUCACAUUAUAUAGAUGGGGGGGCGAUUGGGCUUCACAGUUACAAAACAAAAAUGGCAGUCCCUUUGAAGAACCGGGCUCAGACAAGGAGAAUCUGUGGAGAGAGAGAGAGAUGAGACAGACAUGAGCUUACAAGUCACUUCAAGCAAACAGUAAAUUUACACAACUUGAUCACAGGCCCCCAAGAAUAAUGGGUUACACUCAAAUUACUCAAGAACAGAGACAUUAAGAACAAAACGUGAGUCGAGUUCAACAAAACAACUGUUGUCAUCUUUACUUAUGGAUAAUGCAACGCUGCUUCAUGCCAUUAUACAUCUUAUGCUGUGCAUCUCAACUGUAAUCCCACAUUACUUUUUCAAAGAUUUCUGCAAUAGAUCACGACAAAAUUUGUGAAGAAGCAUGCCUCACUUUGCUCAACAACACAGAUCAGUCUCUUAGAUUUAAGCGGCUCAUUCUGGGGCAAUGCCACUGCAAACUAGCGAAACCUUCUGUGAGCUGUGUGUGAGUGAGUGAGUGAGUGAGUGAGUGAGUGAGUGAGUGAGUGAGUGAGUGAGAUUGGCCUCUGGCACCUCCAUUUUGCGUGCCUGGCCAUGUGAGUUCCUCCUCAUUUUCAGUGGCUGUGUUUUGUGAGCCGGGUGGCGCGGGUGGGGCUAAGUAAAGAGUGCACUGAUGCAGGCAUGGCGUGCGAGUCCUGCUCCCUGUUGCAUAACCCCGGCCAGUGCCGCGUGGCUUAGGCUCAAAUGGGUCACUUUCUGAUACGACGAUGAUGAUGACCACAACACAGCAGCAGAGGAGCUUGGGUAAUGUAAACAGUGACCUGGGUGUAAGGACAAGGCAGGCAAGUAAACAAACAAAUAAGCCUCCCCUGCAGAGCUGCAUGACGUGAUGCUCAAGCUGUAGCACUGAGGGGGAGGGGGGGGAGGGCACCACCUCAUCCUGAUGCCUGCAUCAGCCACAGGCAUCUGCUGAAAGCACAGGCCAGGAGGGCAACAAGGAAAAACACAGGGGACUGAACUCAGCCACAUGAUUUUUAAGAGACAUACAGAUGGCAUGAG
This is a long non-coding RNA of Clupea harengus (Atlantic herring), 5904 nucleotides long. Lineage: Eukaryota; Metazoa; Chordata; Actinopteri; Clupeiformes; Clupeidae. The record is from Ensembl.